RNAcentral lists this ribosomal RNA (253 nucleotides) under uncultured bacterium. Its description in RNAcentral is "partial 16S ribosomal RNA". It matches the Rfam family "Bacterial small subunit ribosomal RNA", at positions 524 to 776 of the family's 1533-position model. The record is from RNAcentral.
UACGUAGGUGACCAGCGUUGUCCGGAUUUACUGGGCGUAAAGAGCGCGCAGGCGGUCGUUCAAGUCGAGUGUGAAAGCCCCCGGCUCAACUGGGGAGGGUCACUCGAUACUGAUCGACUUGAAGGCAGGAGAGGGAAGCGGAAUUCCCGGUGUAGUGGUGAAAUGCGUAGAUAUCAGGAGGAACACCGGUGGCGAAGGCGGAUCUCUGGGCCGAUACUGACGCUGAGGAGCGAAAGCGUGGGGAGCGAACAGG